GAUGAACGCUGGCGGCGUGCUUAACACAUGCAAGUCGAACGGUGAACGAGGGAGCUUGCUCCCUCCGGAUCAGUGGCGAACGGGUGAGUAACACGUGAGCAAUCUGCCCUGGACUCUGGGAUAAGCGUUGGAAACGACGUCUAAUACCGGAUACGAGGCGUGGGGGCAUCCCCAACGCCUGGAAAGAACUUCGGUCCAGGAUGAGCUCGCGGCCUAUCAGCUAGUUGGUGAGGUAACGGCUCACCAAGGCGACGACGGGUAGCCGGCCUGAGAGGGUGACCGGCCACACUGGGACUGAGACACGGCCCAGACUCCUACGGGAGGCAGCAGUGGGGAAUAUUGCACAAUGGGCGCAAGCCUGAUGCAGCAACGCCGCGUGAGGGACGACGGCCUUCGGGUUGUAAACUGCUUUUCUACGGGAAGAACAAAUGACGGUACCGUAGGAAUAAGGAGCUGCAAACUACGUGCCAGCCGCCGCAGUAA
RNAcentral lists this ribosomal RNA (483 nucleotides) under uncultured bacterium. Its description in RNAcentral is "partial 16S ribosomal RNA". It matches the Rfam family "Bacterial small subunit ribosomal RNA", at positions 28 to 523 of the family's 1533-position model. The record is from RNAcentral.